Non-coding RNA from Triticum urartu, 2237 nucleotides. The record is from RefSeq and is a predicted model, not a curated record. Lineage: Eukaryota; Viridiplantae; Streptophyta; Magnoliopsida; Poales; Poaceae.
GACCACUCCUUUCCCUAAAAAACCACUAGACCACUCCUUCCCCCAAAUCCACGAACCCUAACCCAUUGCAGCCGCCGCCGCCCCAAGCAUCAGAUCCCAUAGCUGCUGCCUCCGCCGCCCCCAACCGCCACCGCCGUCCCCAACCACCGCGGCCACCGCCGCCAACGUCCCCAACCACCGCCGCCGCCAUAGUCCCCAUCACACUACGGCGACCUCUACCCGGAGCACGCCGUCGCCCCACACCAUCGCAACUCCUCCGUCGCCCCAACCACACCCCACUGUUGUGCCCUCCACCAGGACCCCCAUGAGCACCCAACAAAGUCAGAGCUCGAGCCAUCGCCCCCAAGCACUUCACCGGCGACUAUCGCUUCAGAGCCGUGCCGUCAACCCCAAGCACUCAGCCAGCGACCAUCCUCCUCCGCUGUCGUCCCUCACCACCAUCCUCCUCUGCAGACCUCCCCUGAGCAGGCCCUCCGCACAAGCUCAACCGAGCACCAAGGAGGUCCUCAAGUGGCACCGCCUCCUUAUUGAGCUCCUCUGCAGCUGCACCUUCUCCAUCGGUGACACCUCCACUAGAGAUUGGCAAGGCGCCUCCAGAAUGUUGUCUCCUCUAGGUAGCGCCUCAUCUACCUCCUAGCUUGAAGCAGUGCUGCCUCACAUCCAGGGGCGGAGCCCAAUGGGCCGACCCCGAGGCACAAGAAUACGGGUAUAAUUUCAUAUUUACUAGUACAUGUCAUACUGAAAAAGGCUUGGGCAUCAGGGUUGAGGUGAAGUGGUGCAUCAGGGUCCACGAUCGCAGCCGCAUGACGGCCUACGCGCGCACACGUCCGCAGCCCACAGCCCACAAUUGGGUCGUACGCUUAGUAUGGCCUCUCCACGCCUGGCUAUCCAUUAUCUGUGCGCAGCCACGCAGCGGUUUCCAAUCCCCACUCCUCGCCGAAAAGUGGGAGCGGCCGAUCGAGGCGACGCCAUGCGCAGGAGUGGCCGUGUCGAUCGAUGCGACUACGCCGGCUUCAUGAAUCGAUCUCGGCAAGAACAUGAUCUACUUUGUCCAAUCGUUCGUCUACACUUCAGAUUGCAGCCAAUUCUAGUUCUGUCUGGGAUAUUCAAUCUUAGUAUGUGAUGACGUAUUUUGGAGUUUCGAAAUGGAAGGCAUCAUUUUCAAGCAAUUAUAGUGAAACUGGUCAAGAAUGGACAAGAGUUGGAUGGAUAAAGCUAGAAACACACAAGCAUAUAUUGACGGGGAUAUCGGCAUGAAGAUGGACAUGAAGGUGGAUGUGGACAUGAAGGGGAAUAUGGGGGUGGAUAUGAAGCAUUUGGAAGUGGACAAACCCAUGGCGAAAGCAGGAAUGCAACCACAAGCAAGCUGAGGAGGUAAUAUCCAUGUUUCCAAGAAUUUUUCAUGCCCUCAACUCUGUAAAUAUUUCCUAUAGUACAGUACUGAAGUUUACAAAAUAUUGUUCCUGGUUGCGUACCUUUUACGAAAUAUUUCAUAUAGGAAAUAGUACAGUACUGAUGUUUUUCAGUACUAUAUAAAUGUAUUUCAGUAUUGUACUAUAGGAAAUAUUUUAGUACUUACGAGUUUAAAUGACAACCAGAUUCUAAACUCCACUACUGUUACAGUACUGAAGCAACCUGUACUCUGGAAAGUACCGAAGUUUACAAAAUGAAAAUUUUCAUGCCCUCAACUCUGUACAGUACUGAUUUUUGGCAGAUUCUAAUUUGUUAAUAUCUAGCUAUACUGGCAGCUCCUUGCUCUUCCUACUCUGGCAAAUUUUUCCUGGUUGCGUUUUUUUUCGUGUGACAAAACAGAUUCUUUAUGAUGGGUAUUGCUGCUGCAUUUCCUGAAGUAUUUGGAUUGACGUGUCCCCUCCCCUGCCUAUUUGUACUUCUCAGUGUACUAUGUUUACUAUAGAUGUUGACGGAGAUUAGGAAGAUCUUGAAGACGCUGAUGAUUUGGAAAACCUAUGAUUAAGUUGCUGAGUGGUUAUGUAAUAUGCUUUGUUUGUUGAACCUGGACACUUGCUCUGCUCAUUUUGCUGGUUAAGCCACUAUAUGCUCAUUUUGGUUGUGGCACCCCCAGAAACAUAUGUACUUUCUCCUUUUGUGGCAAUACUUCAGUUUGGUUGUGGCACAUUUAACAUAUAUGUACUGUACCUUUUGUGGCAGAACCUCCUUAUGUAUAUAUGGAUAUUAUGUUUAUCUGAUGAUGUUUAAGGUUUUCUGGACGAGGCCUA